CCUACGGGAGGCAGCAGUGAGGAAUAUUGGUCAAUGGGCGCUAGCCUGAACCAGCCAAGUAGCGUGAAGGAUGACUGCCCUAUGGGUUGUAAACUUCUUUUAUAUGGGAAUAAAGUGCAUUACGUAUACUGCUUUGCAUGUACCUCAUGAAUAAGGAUCGGCUAACUCCGUGCCAGCAGCCGCGGUAAUACGGAGGAUGCGAGCGUUAUCCGGUUUUAUUGGGUUUAAAGGGUGCGGAGGCGGCCUGUUACGGCGGCGGUAAAAGCCCGGGGCUCAACCCCGGCGAGCCGUUGCAACUGGCGGGCUUGAGUUGGAGAGACGUACGCGGAAUGCGCGGUGUAGCGGUGAAACGCUUAGAUAUCGCGAAGAACCCCGAUUGCGAAGGCAGCGUACCGGCUCCACACUGACGCUGAGGCACGAAGGCGUGGGUAUCGAACAGGAUUAGAUACCCGAGUAGUC
Molecule: ribosomal RNA, 459 nt
Filed under: uncultured bacterium
Lineage: Bacteria
Description: partial 16S ribosomal RNA
Rfam family: Bacterial small subunit ribosomal RNA
Source: RNAcentral